Molecule: long non-coding RNA, 751 nt
Organism: Corapipo altera (White-ruffed manakin)
Lineage: Eukaryota; Metazoa; Chordata; Aves; Passeriformes; Pipridae
Exons: 3
Source: RefSeq, a predicted model, not a curated record
CCACCACAAGGUCCCUGCCAGAGGCCUCUGAAGUUUGAGUCAACAAAGGUGAUCAAAGACAGGGAACAGCUUUGCAGCACAAAGAGGUUAAUGAUACAAAGGCAAUUCAGUGAAGUGUUCAGACAGCAGGUUCAGGAUAAUCACAAAUAUUUCCUUCUCAUCCCCAAAUCUGCCUCACACUUGGAACAAGCUUCAAAAAACACUCAAAAAAGUCUUCCAGAGCUAUGAAAUGCCAACGUAGUUCAUGAGCAAACUGAGAUACAGGUCCUUGGAAGCAGCACAGAAGUAUCACUCGUGCUUGAAGGUUUCUGCCCAUCACCACUUUGAUCACCCUGCCCUGGAUUCUCCAUCUUUUCCCCCCCUGGUAUCACCAGGAGAGGGGUUGUACAUCAAGUAAAAUCAGUUGCCUGAGGUGGCUCUGAUGAAGCUGCUCAAGGAAGUGUGGAUGCUGCUGGUGUCCUGUGCCCUCCAGAACACUCCUGGACGUGGUGGCAUCUCACUGACCCUCACUGAGCCAUGAGAAUGAAUAUUAAAGGCAGCUGAUGUGUGUGCCCAGGAAUAAAGGACAAGGAAUUCCUGGGAUUGGCUGCAAUGGCUCAAAUGUGAUUGCACCAAUGCUCCUGUUGUGUUGCUCUUCUCAAAAAGCCCACCUGCAGAAGACCAGGCCUUUCUGCUGCUGCUCUGAACUGUCUCUCUCCUGAGAGCUGCUCCUUGAACCCCCUGCUCUUAUUUACUGGUUGUUGAUUCAGUG